RNAcentral lists this ribosomal RNA (156 nucleotides) under Phoma herbarum. Its description in RNAcentral is "5.8S ribosomal RNA". It matches the Rfam family "5.8S ribosomal RNA". From Rfam's summary of the family: 5.8S ribosomal RNA (5.8S rRNA) is a component of the large subunit of the eukaryotic ribosome. It is transcribed by RNA polymerase I as part of the 45S precursor that also contains 18S and 28S rRNA. Lineage: Eukaryota; Fungi; Ascomycota; Dothideomycetes; Pleosporales; Didymellaceae. The record is from RNAcentral.
AACUUUUAACAAUGGAUCUCUUGGUUCUGGCAUCGAUGAAGAACGCAGCNAAAUGCGAUAAGUAGUGUGAAUUGCAGAAUUCAGUGAAUCAUCGAAUCUUUGAACGCACAUUGCGCCCCAUGGUAUUCCGUGGGGCAUGCCUGUUCGAGCGUCAUU